CAGGUGUGUAAAUGUUAGUGCAGCGGUGUACCUGUGUGUACAGGUGUGUGCAGGUGUGUGAAUGCAGGUACAAGUCUGUGCAGGUGUGCACAGGUGUCUAAGUGUUAGUGCAGCGGUGUACCUGUGUGUACAGGUGUGUGCAGGUGUGUGAAUGCAGGUACAAGUCUGUGCAGGUGUGUUCAGGUGUGUAAAUGUUAGUGCAGCGGUGUACCUGUGUGUGCAGGUGUGUACAUGCAUAUAUAAGUGUGCACAGGUGCGUGCAGAUGUCUGCAGGUGUGCAGAGUUACAUGUAAGUGUCUACAGGUGCGUACAGGUGAAUGCAGGUGCGUGCAAGAGCACACAGGUGUGUACAGGUGUGUGUAUAUGUGUGUACAGGUGUGUCCAGGUGUGUCCAGGUGUGCACAGGUGUGUGUAUGGCUGUGUACACGUGUGUCUGUAAGUGUGUCAAGGUGUGUAUAUGUGUGUCCAGGUGCACACAGGUGUGUACAGGUGUGUGUAUAUGUGUGUAUAUGUGUCUAUAGGUGUGUGCAGGUGUGCACAGUGUGUCUAUAGAUGUGUGUAAGUGUGCACAGGUGUGUGUAGCUGUGUACACGUGUGUCUAUAAGUGUGCACAGGUGUGCACAGGUGUGUGCAGGUGUGUACAGGUGAGCUGAGCAUACAGCACAAGCUUUGUGCAGGGGUGUGCAGGUGUGCACAGGUGUGCACAGGUGUGCACAGGUGUGUGCAGGUGUGUGCAGCGA
Non-coding RNA from Zonotrichia albicollis (white-throated sparrow), 740 nucleotides. Lineage: Eukaryota; Metazoa; Chordata; Aves; Passeriformes; Passerellidae. The record is from RefSeq and is a predicted model, not a curated record.